RNAcentral lists this long non-coding RNA (544 nucleotides) under Elaeis guineensis (African oil palm). Its description in RNAcentral is "long non-coding RNA (EGUI_LNC073632)". Lineage: Eukaryota; Viridiplantae; Streptophyta; Magnoliopsida; Arecales; Arecaceae. The record is from RNAcentral.
GCAUAUUGGAGCCAUUUCGUGGCAUUGUUGGAAAGAGAGGAAUGCGAGAAUUUUUCUGGGUAAACAAUCCUCCAUUUGCUAUGCGGUCCAUUAAAGCCUCCAUCUCUUCAAUCUGUGGUCAUUGAGCAUGGAAAAAUUUGGCACAAAAUCAAAUCUCUUCCAGCCUUAUUGUAGGGUCUAUGAGCCUACAUCAGCGAACUCCUUCCUCCCCUAGACUAAUUCCAUUGGGAAUGGGGUUUUUGGGCAGUCCACUUUAACAAGUUGCAGCCUGGGAACAACAAUCAGGUUCCGUUCCUUCCUAAUGUAAUCUUCAGUGGUCUCUUUUCUCUUCAGUCCUUCUUCUCCGUCUCCCUGUAAUUUUUGCUCGUUCACCUUGUACUUGGUAAUUACUUCCUGCUCUUAAUAAAAGCUGGGUGGCCACCAUCUCCCAUUUUCAUACAAAAAAAAAAAGAAAAAUCUAAAUUUUAUGUUGUCUCCUAUUGCUUGGAGGUAGGCAAUGCACUGCUUAACCAUUUUAUUUAUUUCAAUCUAUCAUAUAUCGGGC